This is a long non-coding RNA of Dreissena polymorpha, 238 nucleotides long. RefSeq lists it as uncharacterized. The record is from RefSeq and is a predicted model, not a curated record. The transcript has 3 exons. Lineage: Eukaryota; Metazoa; Mollusca; Bivalvia; Myida; Dreissenidae.
CAGACCCUCACCCAGGGGAUACUUUUGCAGCAUGUGACACGCAACCUCGCUAUCAGGGACCUGCUGGCUAACUCAGUGGUGAAAUUGACUGAGAUGUUGGAAGGCAAAGCAGAUGAGAAAUCUGACAGCAACAUUAUCUUGGAAGCAUUCAACAUUUACUGCAAGCUGCUAUUACUUCUACAUGCACAGGACAAGCGUACGCUGAGUUGCCUGUCAGAGUAUGGCAAGCUGCUGUCCU